This 520-nucleotide unclassified non-coding RNA is filed under the name uncultured Entrophospora. Its description in RNAcentral is "SSU rRNA". It matches the Rfam family "Eukaryotic small subunit ribosomal RNA", at positions 569 to 1084 of the family's 1831-position model. The record is from RNAcentral. Lineage: Eukaryota; Fungi; Glomeromycota; Glomeromycetes; Entrophosporales; Entrophosporaceae.
AGCAGCCGCGGUAAUUCCAGCUCCAAUAGCGUAUAUUAAAGUUGUUGCAGUUAAAAAGCUCGUAGUUGAAUUUCGGGAUUGACGUGAUGGUCGUGCCUUACGGGGUAUGAACUGUUGCUGUUGAUUUCUCACCUUCUGGAGAAACUUGAUGUCCUUAAUUGGGUGUCUUGCGGAUCCAGGACCUUUACCUUGAAAAAUUAGAGUGUUUAAAGCAGGCAUUUUGCUCGAAUACAUUAGCAUGGAAUAAUAGAAUAGGACGGCAUGGUUCUAUUUUGUUGGUUUCUAGGAUCACCGUAAUGAUUAAUAGGGAUAGUUGGGGGCAUUAGUAUUCAAUUGUCAGAGGUGAAAUUCUUGGAUUUAUUGAAGACUAACUACUGCGAAAGCAUUUGCCAAGGAUGUUUUCAUUAAUCAAGAACGAGAGUUAGGGGAUCGAAGACGAUCAGAUACCGUCGUAGUCUUAACCAUAAACUAUGCCGACUAGGAAUCAGACGAUGUUAAUUUUUAAUGUACUUCGUUUGGU